This 301-nucleotide ribosomal RNA is filed under the name uncultured bacterium. RNAcentral describes it as "partial 16S ribosomal RNA". It matches the Rfam family "Bacterial small subunit ribosomal RNA", at positions 509 to 807 of the family's 1533-position model. The record is from RNAcentral.
CAGUAGCCGCGGGAAUACGAAGGGGGCUAGCGUUGUUCGGAAUUACUGGGCGUAAAGCGCACGUAGGCGGAUAUUUAAGUCAGGGGUGAAAUCCCGCAGCUCAACUGCGGAACUGCCUUUGAUACUGGGUAUCUUGAGUAUGGAAGAGGUUAGUGGAAUUGCGAGUGUAGAGGUGAAAUUCGUAGAUAUUCGCAGGAACACCAGUGGCGAAGGCGGCUAACUGGUCCAUAACUGACGCUGAGGUGCGAAAGCGUGGGGAGCAAACAGGAUUAGAUACCCGUGUAGUCCCUGUCUCUUAUAC